RNAcentral lists this long non-coding RNA (541 nucleotides) under Oryctolagus cuniculus (rabbit). RNAcentral describes it as "lncRNA (ENSOCUG00000038296.1)". Lineage: Eukaryota; Metazoa; Chordata; Mammalia; Lagomorpha; Leporidae. The record is from RNAcentral.
AUGCUGGCCGAGCGGAUCCACCUAUUAUUAGUGCGCGCGGAUUGGCUCCUGGACGCAGCGUACUCGUGCUGGAACCAAUCAGGCUGCCGGGGCUGGGAGAUGAUGGGCGGCCGCCUCCUCAGUGGAGGGAUUCCUGGAGAAGCUGCAGUGUGGGGAUGCUCUAGACCGAGUACUGCCCCCAGUGUCUUUCCACCUCCCUCUCCUGCGGCGGCAGCGGCACUUAGCAGCAGCAACUUGAGGCUGCACCCUGGGCACGCUCCCGGGGUGGUGCUCAGCGCAGAGAGGGGCUCAGCACCCUCCAGGGGUGUGUGUGUAGGGUGGGGGCGGCCGGCUGGGACCAGCUGGUGGCCCUGGAAAACCUCCCACACACCCACACCCACACACCCCUUUUGUGUUACAGGCUGCCCCUCCGAGAGCGGAGGCAGCGAGAGAGUCCGCGUGUGCCGCUCACCGGUCCGCACCGGGGAGAGCGGAGGGGACCGAGACCGGCACCACCUCCUGGUCCUUGCUCCAGGGACAACAAGAACUAGCUAGAGCUUGA